UUAUAAAAAUGUUAUAAUUAUACUUAUAUAAUAACAUUCAUCAUUAUAUUAUAUAUUAAUAAUUAUUAUUUUCUGAAUUCCAUUUUUUAAUUUUUCAAGAGAAUACUUAAUGAGCAAGUAGAAAUUUUACCUCAUUUCACA
Molecule: microRNA precursor, 141 nt
Filed under: Mus caroli (Ryukyu mouse)
Lineage: Eukaryota; Metazoa; Chordata; Mammalia; Rodentia; Muridae
Description: miRNA (MGP_CAROLIEiJ_G0007820.1)
Source: RNAcentral